RNAcentral lists this ribosomal RNA (482 nucleotides) under uncultured bacterium. RNAcentral's name for it is "partial 16S ribosomal RNA". It matches the Rfam family "Bacterial small subunit ribosomal RNA", at positions 30 to 507 of the family's 1533-position model. The record is from RNAcentral.
AUUGAACGCUGGCGGCAUGCCUUACACAUGCAAGUCGAACGGUAACGGGCCUUCGGGUGCCGACGAGUAGCGAACGGGUGAGUAAUACAUCGGAACGUGCCCGAUCGUGGGGGAUAACGAGGCGAAAGCUUUGCUAAUACCGCAUACGAUCUACGGAUGAAAGCAGGGGACCGCAAGGCCUUGCGCGGACGGAGCGGCCGAUGGCAGAUUAGGUAGUUGGUGGGAUAAAAGGUUACCAAGCCGACGAUCUGUAGCUGGGCUGAGAGGAUGAUCAGCCACACUGGGACUGAGACACGGCCCAGACUCCUACGGGAGGCAGCAGUGGGGAAUUUUGGACAAUGGGCGCAAGCCUGAUCCAGCCAUGCCGCGUGCAGGAUGAAGGCCUUCGGGUUGUAAACUGCUUUUGUACGGAACGAAAAGCCUUCUUUUAAUACAGGAGGGUCAUGACGGUACCGUAAGAAUAAGCACCGGCUAACUACGUG